Molecule: ribosomal RNA, 433 nt
Filed under: uncultured bacterium
Lineage: Bacteria
Description: partial 16S ribosomal RNA
Rfam family: Bacterial small subunit ribosomal RNA
Source: RNAcentral
AGCGAACGCUGGCGGCAGGCUUAACACAUGCAAGUCGAGCGGGCACUUCGGAGUCAGCUGCUGACGCGUGAGUAGCACGUGGGAACGUACCCUUUUGUUCGGAAUUACGCUGUUUCACUGGCGCUAAUACCGGAUACGCUCCUCUGGGGCAAGGCUUGCUGCCGAAGGAUCGGCCCGAGUCUGCUUAGCCUGUUGGUGGUGUAAUGGCCUACCAAGGCGACGAUCAGUAGCUGGUCUGAGAGGAUGAUCAGCCACACUGGGUCGGAGGCACGGCCGGGACUCUUACGGGAGGCAGCAGUGGGGAAUAUGGGACAAGGGGCGCAAGCCUGAUCGAGCCAGGCCGCGUAAGUGAUGAAGGCCUGAGGGUAGUAAAGCUCUGUUGUCCGGGACGAUAAUGACGGUACCGGAAGAAUAAGCCCCGGCUAACUUCGUG